UCUAAUAUGGCAGAUAAGUGCAGUAGAUUUAAGCUCUACAUAUAAAGAAGAUACUUUUAUUAGAA
RNAcentral lists this transfer RNA (65 nucleotides) under Cosmetura nigrogeniculata. RNAcentral's name for it is "tRNA-Leu". Lineage: Eukaryota; Metazoa; Arthropoda; Insecta; Orthoptera; Tettigoniidae. The record is from RNAcentral.